UACGUAGGGGGCAAGCGUUGUCCGGAGUUACUGGGCGUAAAGCGCACGCAGGCGGUCGAUUAAGGUUGGAGUGACAGUUGGUGGCUUAACUGCCAAAGUGCUUCGAAAACUGAUCGACUUGAGGGCUUCAGAGGGACACGGAAUUCCGGGUGGAGUGGUGAAAUGCGUAGAGAUCCGGAGGAACACCGAAGGCGAAGGCAGUGUCCUGGGGAGUCCCUGACGCUCAGGUGCGAAAGCCAGGGGAGAGAACGGG
RNAcentral lists this ribosomal RNA (253 nucleotides) under uncultured bacterium. RNAcentral describes it as "partial 16S ribosomal RNA". It matches the Rfam family "Bacterial small subunit ribosomal RNA", at positions 524 to 776 of the family's 1533-position model. The record is from RNAcentral.